CGAAUGGCGAAGGCUACCAUGCGAGUCGAGCGGAACGAGUUGUCUGAACCUUCGGGGAACGAUAACGGCGUCGAGCGGCGGACGGGUGAGUAAUGCCUGGGAAAUUGCCCUGAUGUGGGGGAUAACCAUUGGAAACGAUGGCUAAUACCGCAUAAUAGCUUCGGCUCAAAGAGGGGGACCUUCGGGCCUCUCGCGUCAGGAUAUGCCCAGGUGGGAUUAGCUAGUUGGUGAGGUAAUGGCUCACCAAGGCGACGAUCCCUAGCUGGUCUGAGAGGAUGAUCAGCCACACUGGAACUGAGACACGGUCCAGACUCCUACGGGAGGCAGCAGUGGGGAAUAUUGCACAAUGGGCGCAAGCCUGAUGCAGCCAUGCCGCGUGUAUGAAGAAGGCCUUCGGGUUGUAAAGUACUUUCAGCAGUGAGGAAGGUGGAUGUGUUAAUAGCACUUUCAUUUGACGUUAGCUGCAGAAGAAGCACCGGCUAACUCCGUGCCAGCAGCCGCGGUAAUACGGAGGGUGCGAGCGUUAAUCGGAAUUACUGGGCGUAAAGCGCAUGCAGGUGGUUUGUUAAGUCAGAUGUGAAAGCCCGGGGCUCAACCUCGGAAUUGCAUUUGAAACUGGCAGACUAGAGUACUGUAGAGGGGGGUAGAAUUUCAGGUGUAGCGGUGAAAUGCGUAGAGAUCUGAAGGAAUACCGGUGGCGAAGGCGGCCCCCUGGACAGAUACUGACACUCAGAUGCGAAAGCGUGGGGAGCAAACAGGAUUAGAUACCCUGGUAGUCCACGCCGUAAACGAUGUCUACUUGGAGGUUGUGGGCCUUGAGCCGUGGCUUUCGGAGCUAACGCGUUAAGUAGACCGCCUGGGGAGUACGGUCGCAAGAUUAAAACUUCAAAUGAAUUGACGGGGGCCCCGCACAAGCGGUU
RNAcentral lists this ribosomal RNA (920 nucleotides) under Vibrio sp. j21431. Its description in RNAcentral is "bacterial SSU rRNA". It matches the Rfam family "Bacterial small subunit ribosomal RNA", at positions 36 to 934 of the family's 1533-position model. The record is from RNAcentral. Lineage: Bacteria; Pseudomonadati; Pseudomonadota; Gammaproteobacteria; Vibrionales; Vibrionaceae.